UACGGAGGGUGCAAGCGUUAUCCGGAUUCACUGGGUUUAAAGGGUGUGUAGGCGGGCAGUUAAGUCAGUGGUGAAAUCUCCGGGCUUAACCCGGAAACUGCCAUUGAUACUAUCAGUCUUGAAUACCGUGGAGGUCAGUAGAAUAUGUCAUGUAGCGGUGAAAUGCUUAGAUAUGACAUAGAAUACCAAUUGCGAAGGCAGCUGGCUACACGAAUAUUGACACUCAGGCACGAAAGCGUGGGGAUCAAACAGG
RNAcentral lists this ribosomal RNA (253 nucleotides) under uncultured bacterium. RNAcentral's name for it is "partial 16S ribosomal RNA". It matches the Rfam family "Bacterial small subunit ribosomal RNA", at positions 524 to 776 of the family's 1533-position model. The record is from RNAcentral.